GACGAACGCUGGCGGCGUGCUUAACACAUGCAAGUCGAACGGAAAGGCCCUGCUUUUGUGGGGUGCUCGAGUGGCGAACGGGUGAGUAACACGUGAGUAACCUGCCCUUGACUUUGGGAUAACUUCAGGAAACUGGGGCUAAUACCGGAUAGGAGCUCCUGCUGCAUGGUGGGGGUUGGAAAGUUUCGGCGGUUGGGGAUGGACUCGCGGCUUAUCAGCUUGUUGGUGGGGUAGUGGCUUACCAAGGCUUUGACGGGUAGCCGGCCUGAGAGGGUGACCGGCCACAUUGGGACUGAGAGACGGCCCAGAGUCCUACGGGAGGCAGCAGUGGGGAAUAUUGCACAAUGGGCGGAAGCCUGAUGCAGCAACGCCGCGUGCGGGAUGACGGCCUUCGGGUUGUAAACCGCUUUCGCCUGUGACGAAGCGUGAGUGACGGUAAUGGGUAAAGAAGCACCGGCUAACUACGUG
RNAcentral lists this ribosomal RNA (468 nucleotides) under uncultured bacterium. RNAcentral describes it as "partial 16S ribosomal RNA". It matches the Rfam family "Bacterial small subunit ribosomal RNA", at positions 28 to 507 of the family's 1533-position model. The record is from RNAcentral.